This 371-nucleotide unclassified non-coding RNA is filed under the name uncultured fungus. RNAcentral's name for it is "sequence contains ITS1". The stretch from base 1 to 105 matches the Rfam family "5.8S ribosomal RNA", at positions 50 to 154 of the family's 154-position model. Lineage: Eukaryota; Fungi. The record is from RNAcentral.
GAAAUGCGAUACGUAGUGUGAAUUGCAGAAUUCCGUGAAUCAUCGAAUCUUUGAACGCAUAUUGCGCUCGAGGCUUCGGCCAAGAGCAUGUCUGCCUCAGCGUCGGGUUAAUAUCACUCCCUACUCUCCCAGGAGAAUAGUUGGUAGUGGAUCUGGCUGUUCCAGCUAGGCACUGUCGGCUUGCCGAUAAAUCGUGCUCUGGAUCAGCUGAAGCACAGAGGCUAACCAAGGACCCGUUAAGGGCCGCAACUGGGUAGGCAUUUUAUGCUAUUCUUAGUUGUUGGUCUGGGACCCUGUGUUCGGCCCUCUAACCAGGAAUUAACCCUUAUUUUCUCGACCUGAGCUUAGGCAAGAACACCCGCUGAACUUAA